GAUGAACGCUGGCGGCGUGCUUAACACAUGCCAGUCGAACGAAGCAUCUGCGACAGUUUUUUUCUGAAUUUAGUUGCUUAUGACUGAGUAACGGACGGGUGAGUAACGUGUGGGUAUCGUGCCUCUUACUGGGAGAUAGCAUCUGGACACAGCUGGUAAUAAAGCAUAAGCUCACAAUGUUGCAUGACGUCUUGUGAACACCUCUGGUGGGAUAAGAUGGACGUUCGUCAGAUUAGCUAGUUGGUGAGAUCACAGCCCACCAAGGCGACGCUCGGUAGACGAGCUGUGAGACUGACCCGACACAUUGAGACUGAGCCACAGUCCGGAAUCCUACGGGAGGCGGCAAUGGGGGAUGUUGCAAAAUGGAGGAAACUCUGAUGCAGCGCCGACGCGUGAGUGAAGAUAUAAGGCAUUAUGUAAAGCGCUAUCAGCAGGGAAGAUAGUGACGGUACCUAAUUAAGAAGCCACGGCUAACUACGUG
This 481-nucleotide ribosomal RNA is filed under the name uncultured bacterium. Its description in RNAcentral is "partial 16S ribosomal RNA". It matches the Rfam family "Bacterial small subunit ribosomal RNA", at positions 28 to 507 of the family's 1533-position model. The record is from RNAcentral.